GAUGAACGCUGACAGAAUGCUUAACACAUGCAAGUCAACUUGAACUUCGGUUUGGGUGGCGGACGGGUGAGUAACGCGUAAAGAACUUGCCUCACAGAUAGGGACAACAUUUGGAAACGAAUGCUAAUACCUGAUAUUAUGAUUUUAGGGCAUCCUAGGAUUAUGAAAGCUAUAUGCGCUGUGAGAGAGCUUUGCGUCCCAUUAGCUAGUUGGAGAGGUAACGGCUCACCAAGGCGAUGAUGGGUAGCCGGCCUGAGAGGGUGAUCGGCCACAAGGGGACUGAGUCACGGCCCUUACGCAUACGGGAGGCAGCAGUGGGGAAUAUUGGACAAUGGACCAAGAGUCUGAUCCAGCAAUUCUGUGUGCACGAUGAAGUUUUUCGGAAUGUAAAGUGCUUUCAGUUGGGAAGAAAAAAAUGACGGUACCAACAGAAGAAGUGACGGCUAAAUACGUG
This 454-nucleotide ribosomal RNA is filed under the name uncultured bacterium. RNAcentral's name for it is "partial 16S ribosomal RNA". It matches the Rfam family "Bacterial small subunit ribosomal RNA", at positions 28 to 507 of the family's 1533-position model. The record is from RNAcentral.